RNAcentral lists this non-coding RNA (85 nucleotides) under Paenibacillus sp. Its description in RNAcentral is "c-di-GMP sequence". It matches the Rfam family "c-di-GMP-I riboswitch aptamer". From Rfam's summary of the family: GEMM was predicted in a large-scale screen for bacterial structured RNA regulatory elements. The record is from RNAcentral. Lineage: Bacteria; Bacillati; Bacillota; Bacilli; Caryophanales; Paenibacillaceae.
GCUGCGAUACAGCAAACCUGUUGAAAAGCAGGGACGCAAAGCCAUGGGCCUAAAGACGUCAGUCAAUGGUUGCCAGGUUGCCGAA